GACGUAUUAAAAAAAAACUACUUACUAGAUCUUGUUCAAACCAAUUUUCGGUGGAAGUUUGCAUGGUAAUGUACAUCAUAUAUUUUUUUUAGUUUUAUCAUUCUCUUAUUUUAGAAGUUACAGGGGGGGGGACACACACAUUUUACCACUUUGGAAGUGUCUCUCGCGCAAACUAUUCAGUUUAGAAAAAAAUGAUGUUAGAAACCUCAAUAUCAUUUUUGAAGACCUAUCCAUAGAUACCCCACACGUAUGGGUUUGAUGAAAAAAAAUUUUUUGUGUUUCAGUUACGUAUUAAAAAAAAACUACUUACUAGAUCUCGUUCAAACCAAUUUUCGGUGGAAGUUUGCAUGGUAAUGUACAUCAUAUAUUUUUUUUAGUUUUAUCAUUCUCUUAUUUUAGAAGUUACAGGGGGGGGGGGACACACAUUUUACCACUUUGGAAGUGUCUCUCGCCCAAACUAUUCAGUUUAGAAAAAAAUGAUAUUAGAAACCUCAAUAUCAUUUUUGAAGACCUAUCCAUAGAUACCCCACACGUAUGGGUUUGAUGAAAUUUUUUUUUUGAGUUUCAGUUCUAAGUAU
This is a long non-coding RNA of Cydia amplana, 578 nucleotides long. RefSeq lists it as uncharacterized. The transcript has 2 exons. NCBI's taxonomy places the organism in Eukaryota, Metazoa, Arthropoda, Insecta, Lepidoptera, Tortricidae. The record is from RefSeq and is a predicted model, not a curated record.